GGUUAAGCGACUAAGCGUACACGGUGGAUGCCCUGGCAGUCAGAGGCGAUGAAGGACGUGCUAAUCUGCGAUAAGCGUCGGUAAGGUGAUAUGAACCGUUAUAACCGGCGAUUUCCGAAUGGGGAAACCCAGUGUGAUUCGACACACUAUCAUUAACUGAAUCCAUAGGUUAAUGAGGCGAACCGGGGGAACUGAAACAUCUAAGUACCCCGAGGAAAAGAAAUCAACCGAGAUUCCCCCAGUAGCGGCGAGCGAACGGGGAGCAGCCCAGAGCCUGAAUCAGUGUGUGUGUUAGUGGAAGCGUCUGGAAAGGCGCGCGAUACAGGGUGACAGCCCCGUACACAAAAAUGCACAUGCUGUGAGCUCGAUGAGUAGGGCGGGACACGUGGUAUCCUGUCUGAAUAUGGGGGGACCAUCCUCCAAGGCUAAAUACUCCUGACUGACCGAUAGUGAACCAGUACCGUGAGGGAAAGGCGAAAAGAACCCCGGCGAGGGGAGUGAAAAAGAACCUGAAACCGUGUACGUACAAGCAGUGGGAGCACGCUUAGGCGUGUGACUGCGUACCUUUUGUAUAAUGGGUCAGCGACUUAUAUUCUGUAGCAAGGUUAACCGAAUAGGGGAGCCGAAGGGAAACCGAGUCUUAACUGGGCGUUAAGUUGCAGGGUAUAGACCCGAAACCCGGUGAUCUAGCCAUGGGCAGGUUGAAGGUUGGGUAACACUAACUGGAGGACCGAACCGACUAAUGUUGAAAAAUUAGCGGAUGACUUGUGGCUGGGGGUGAAAGGCCAAUCAAACCGGGAGAUAGCUGGUUCUCCCCGAAAGCUAUUUAGGUAGCGCCUCGUGAAUUCAUCUCCGGGGGUAGAGCACUGUUUCGGCAAGGGGGUCAUCCCGACUUACCAACCCGAUGCAAACUGCGAAUACCGGAGAAUGUUAUCACGGGAGACACACGGCGGGUGCUAACGUCCGUCGUGAAGAGGGAAACAACCCAGACCGCCAGCUAAGGUCCCAAAGUCAUGGUUAAGUGGGAAACGAUGUGGGAAGGCCCAGACAGCCAGGAUGUUGGCUUAGAAGCAGCCAUCAUUUAAAGAAAGCGUAAUAGCUCACUGGUCGAGUCGGCCUGCGCGGAAGAUGUAACGGGGCUAAACCAUGCACCGAAGCUGCGGCAGCGACGCUGAUGCGUUGUUGGGUAGGGGAGCGUUCUGUAAGCCUGCGAAGGUGUGCUGUGAGGCAUGCUGGAGGUAUCAGAAGUGCGAAUGCUGACAUAAGUAACGAUAAAGCGGGUGAAAAGCCCGCUCGCCGGAAGACCAAGGGUUCCUGUCCAACGUUAAUCGGGGCAGGGUGAGUCGACCCCUAAGGCGAGGCCGAAAGGCGUAGUCGAUGGGAAACAGGUUAAUAUUCCUGUACUUGGUGUUACUGCGAAGGGGGGACGGAGAAGGCUAUGUUGGCCGGGCGACGGUUGUCCCGGUUUAAGCGUGUAGGCUGGUUUUCCAGGCAAAUCCGGAAAAUCAAGGCUGAGGCGUGAUGACGAGGCACUACGGUGCUGAAGCAACAAAUGCCCUGCUUCCAGGAAAAAGCCUCUAAGCAUCAGGUAACAUCAAAUCGUACCCCAAACCGACACAGGUGGUCAGGUAGAGAAUACCAAGGCGCUUGAGAGAACUCGGGUGAAGGAACUAGGCAAAAUGGUGCCGUAACUUCGGGAGAAGGCACGCUGAUAUGUAGGUGAAGUCCCUCGCGGAUGGAGCUGAAAUCAGUCGAAGAUACCAGCUGGCUGCAACUGUUUAUUAAAAACACAGCACUGUGCAAACACGAAAGUGGACGUAUACGGUGUGACGCCUGCCCGGUGCCGGAAGGUUAAUUGAUGGGGUUAGCGCAAGCGAAGCUCUUGAUCGAAGCCCCGGUAAACGGCGGCCGUAACUAUAACGGUCCUAAGGUAGCGAAAUUCCUUGUCGGGUAAGUUCCGACCUGCACGAAUGGCGUAAUGAUGGCCAGGCUGUCUCCACCCGAGACUCAGUGAAAUUGAACUCGCUGUGAAGAUGCAGUGUACCCGCGGCAAGACGGAAAGACCCCGUGAACCUUUACUAUAGCUUGACACUGAACAUUGAGCCUUGAUGUGUAGGAUAGGUGGGAGGCUUUGAAGUGUGGACGCCAGUCUGCAUGGAGCCGACCUUGAAAUACCACCCUUUAAUGUUUGAUGUUCUAACGUUGACCCGUAAUCCGGGUUGCGGACAGUGUCUGGUGGGUAGUUUGACUGGGGCGGUCUCCUCCUAAAGAGUAACGGAGGAGCACGAAGGUUGGCUAAUCCUGGUCGGACAUCAGGAGGUUAGUGCAAUGGCAUAAGCCAGCUUGACUGCGAGCGUGACGGCGCGAGCAGGUGCGAAAGCAGGUCAUAGUGAUCCGGUGGUUCUGAAUGGAAGGGCCAUCGCUCAACGGAUAAAAGGUACUCCGGGGAUAACAGGCUGAUACCGCCCAAGAGUUCAUAUCGACGGCGGUGUUUGGCACCUCGAUGUCGGCUCAUCACAUCCUGGGGCUGAAGUAGGUCCCAAGGGUAUGGCUGUUCGCCAUUUAAAGUGGUACGCGAGCUGGGUUUAGAACGUCGUGAGACAGUUCGGUCCCUAUCUGCCGUGGGCGCUGGAGAACUGAGGGGGGCUGCUCCUAGUACGAGAGGACCGGAGUGGACGCAUCACUGGUGUUCGGGUUGUCAUGCCAAUGGCACUGCCCGGUAGCUAAAUGCGGAAGAGAUAAGUGCUGAAAGCAUCUAAGCACGAAACUUGCCCCGAGAUGAGUUCUCCCUGACCCUUUAAGGGUCCUGAAGGAACGUUGAAGACGACGACGUUGAUAGGCCGGGUGUGUAAGCGCAGCGAUGCGUUGAGCUAACCGGUACUAAUGAACCGUGAGGCUUAACCUUAC
This 2907-nucleotide ribosomal RNA is filed under the name Escherichia coli O104:H4 str. 01-09591. RNAcentral's name for it is "bacterial LSU rRNA". It matches the Rfam family "Bacterial large subunit ribosomal RNA". Lineage: Bacteria; Pseudomonadati; Pseudomonadota; Gammaproteobacteria; Enterobacterales; Enterobacteriaceae. The record is from RNAcentral.